This 468-nucleotide ribosomal RNA is filed under the name uncultured bacterium. Its description in RNAcentral is "partial 16S ribosomal RNA". It matches the Rfam family "Bacterial small subunit ribosomal RNA", at positions 28 to 507 of the family's 1533-position model. The record is from RNAcentral.
GAUGAACGCUGGCGGCGUGCUUAACACAUGCAAGUCGAACGGAAAGGCCGAAGCUUGCUUCGGUACUCGAGUGGCGAGCGGGUGAGUAACACGUGGGUGAUCUGCCCUGUACUUCGGGAUAAGCUUGGGAAACUGGGUCUAAUACCGGAUAUGACGAUCUCUUGGAUGGGGUUGUGGAAAGCUUUUGCGGUAUGGGAUGAGCUCGCGGCCUAUCAGCUUGUUGGUGGGGUAAUGGCCUACCAAGGCGUCGACGGGUAGCCGGCCUGAGAGGGUGUACGGCCACAUUGGGACUGAGAUACGGCCCAGACUCCUACGGGAGGCAGUAGUGGGGAAUAUUGCACAAUGGGCGCAAGCCUGAUGCAGCGACGCCGCGUGGGGGAUGACGGCCUUCGGGUUGUAAACUCCUUUCGCAAUCGACGAAGCCUUUUGGUGACGGUAGGUUGAGAAGAAGCACCGGCUAACUACGUG